CCUUAGUCAGGAUACCUCGGGAACUGAGGAUAACACUUGAUAAGAAAUAUUUUCUGGAAUGAGAUUUUUCCCAAACUCGUGCUUAAGGAGGGGGCUGCGGCAGAUUAGGUAGUUGUUAGUGUAAUGGACUAACAAGCCAAUGAUCUGUAAGGGUUCUUAGCGGAAGGGCCCUGAGAAGGAAUCUGAGACACUAUUCCUAGCUCUACGGGGUGCAGCAGUCGAGGAAAUUCUACAAUGCUCGCAAGAGUGAUAGAAUAAGUCAGAGUGUUUCUCCUAGAGAAACUUUUGCUUGUUGUAAAAAGACAGGCGAAUAAGGACUGGGCAAGACCGGUGCCAGCCGCCGCGGUAAUACCGGCGGUCCAAGUCGUAUCCACAAUUAUUGGGUCUAAAACAUUCGUAGCUUGUUUUGCAAGUCUCUUGUGAAAUCUGACAUCUUAAGUGUCAGGCGCGCAAGAGAUACUGCAUUGCUAGAGACCGGAAGACGUAAGGAGUACGAUCAAGGUAGCGGUAAAAUGUGUUAAUCUUGAUCGGACUAACAAUGGCGAAGGCACCUUACGAGUACGGAUCUGACAGUGAGGGAUGAAGGCUAGGGGCGCAAAAGGGAUUAGAUACCCCUGUAGUCCUAGCAGUAAACACUGCUCACUAAACAUCGGUGCCUCCUCGAGAGGCGUCGGUGCUGUAGAGAAGUCGAAGAGUGAGCUACCUGGGAAGUAUAGUCGCAAGACCGAAACUUAAAGGAAUUGGCGGGGGAGCAC
This 755-nucleotide ribosomal RNA is filed under the name uncultured archaeon. Its description in RNAcentral is "bacterial SSU rRNA". It matches the Rfam family "Archaeal small subunit ribosomal RNA", at positions 113 to 879 of the family's 1478-position model. The record is from RNAcentral.